GUGAACGCUGGCGGUAGGCCUAACACAUGCAAGUCGGACGGCAGCACAGUAAGAGCUUGCUCUUACGGGUGGCGAGUGGCGGACGGGUGAGGAAUACAUCGGAAUCUACUUUUUCGUGGGGGAUAACGUAGGGAAACUUACGCUAAUACCGCAUACGACCUACGGGUGAAAGCAGGGGAUCUUCGGACCUUGCGCGAUUGAAUGAGCCGAUGUCGGAUUAGCUAGUUGGCGGGGCAAAGGCCCACCAAGGCGACGAUCCGUAGCUGGUCUGAGAGGAUGAUCAGCCACACUGGAACUGAGACACGGUCCAGACUCCUACGGGAGGCAGCAGUGGGGAAUAUUGGACAAAGGGCGCAAGCCUGAUCCAGCCAUACCGCGUGGGUGAAGAAGGCCUUCGGGUUGUAAAGCCCUUUUGUUGGGAAAGAAAAGCAGCAGGUUAAUACCCCGCUGUUCUGACGGUACCCAAAGAAUAAGCACCGGCUAACUUCGUG
RNAcentral lists this ribosomal RNA (491 nucleotides) under uncultured bacterium. RNAcentral's name for it is "partial 16S ribosomal RNA". It matches the Rfam family "Bacterial small subunit ribosomal RNA", at positions 29 to 507 of the family's 1533-position model. The record is from RNAcentral.